UACGUAGGGGGCAAGCGUUGUCCGGAUUCAUUGGGCGUAAAGAGCGUGUAGGCGGCCAGGUAGGUCGGUUGUGAAAACUGGGGGCUCAACCUUCAGAGGUCGACCGAAACCAUCUGGCUAGAGUCCGGGAGAGGAGAGUGGAAUUCCUGGUGUAGCGGUGAAAUGCGCAGAUAUCAGGAAGAACACCCGUGGCGAAAGCGGCUCUCUGGAACGGUACUGACGCUGAGACGCGAAAGCGUGGGGAGCGAACAGG
This 253-nucleotide ribosomal RNA is filed under the name uncultured bacterium. RNAcentral describes it as "partial 16S ribosomal RNA". It matches the Rfam family "Bacterial small subunit ribosomal RNA", at positions 524 to 776 of the family's 1533-position model. The record is from RNAcentral.